This 1438-nucleotide long non-coding RNA is filed under the name Cyanistes caeruleus (blue tit). RNAcentral describes it as "lncRNA (ENSCCEG00000018120.1)". Lineage: Eukaryota; Metazoa; Chordata; Aves; Passeriformes; Paridae. The record is from RNAcentral.
AAGCAUGGAUGAUGCUUUUCUAUGGAUCUGAAUUAAGGGAAAAAUGCCCCCUUUUCCAUCACCAGAGAGGUUUAACGCAAGGAAAACUACUCUUUUCCCCAAUAUCUGAGGGGUUUAAAUUAAAGGGGAGAAGCCAUUUCUUUACCACUGCAUCUGUUUAAAUGCAGUUAGCUGUCCCAUUUGCUCAUUUUAAGUGUUGCCUUUUCCAGCAUUUCAAGGGUUUAAAGCUGCAUUUCAGGGCACUUUUACCCACACCCCGGCACCAAAUAUCUCCAACGGGGGCGAGGCCAGCAGGAGGAUUGCAAUUUCCAGAAGUUCUAGGUCACAUCAAAUGCAGACGGUUUGACCUCGUGGCAGAGCAGCUAUCCCAGAUGAUGGGGGUCCCCCUGAGAAGGAAGUAAAGCCAGAAAGCAGCAGGGAGGGCGAAGCAGGUGGAAGGCUGCCUCCUGAUGCUGUGCUGAGGCCCCCUCACUGGUCUCCCUAGAGACCCGGUUUGCUUCUCUGGUGAGCCCCAGCAAAUAUUACCGGAGUCCGUGACGAAGCCUCGACCUCGUCCACGUGUCGGUGCGCUCCCGGUACCCUUUAGGUGCGGCCGAGGAGUCGGGCGAGUCGCAAGGAGCGGCGAGGGCGCGCUCAACUUUUAGCGACGCUACAUCGCCUCCUCUCCGUUUAUCCUAGGCGAACCCUGCGAUGACGGCGUCCGCCUCGGAGCAUGGCUGAAGCGUGAGGCCCGAGGACCUGGGAGUUCCUAAGAGACGGUGAGUAGGAGUUGGGUUUUGGUGAAUAUGCUAGUAAGAUUGUGCCCUUAUAUUUGGUUUUCUUUAUCAUAGGUGAUGAUAUUUGUCUGAGACAACAGCCUGGUGAGAGAAGAACUUCCCAGACGGUGAGGUGGCUUUGUUUGGCUCCCGACCGGCCUCUCGCUGUGACUGACAUCUUCAGCCCUCUGAGAGAUAAGUGGAGCCCACAGAGGGGAUCAAAGCAGGGCGGCGGUCGGGACUGAGAUCAGUUUGGGUUUUUGAGUGAGCUUUGGGGAUGGGGAGGUUCUGGAAAUGACCCCAUAGGCCCCAGCGAGGGAAAGCCUCACUUUGGUUUGCAAUGCUGAGGCAGGCAGGGCAGAGCAGUCCCAGGGUGUGUUGUCACUUGUCUCUCGUGCCUUCUGUGUCUUCUGUGCAUCUUGUGUAAUGUGUCUCUUGCCUUAGUCCUCCCAGGGGCUUAUGAGAAACCCCGGGGUCUUUCCGUUCAUCUCCCAUCUUUGCGUUCCUCGGCCCGACGCCGGCGAAGCUUCGAUUCGGGAGGUCGGACACGUGUCAGAAUCGCAUUUGUCUUCAGAAGCACGUGAUCUUUUUAGGUCUCGUUCUCAGCUGUGUCAACAGCUAUAUGCAGCAGUGUUUCUUUACAGUGGAUAAGGACUUGUGCCGAUUCAAAGGCAGGCAGAGGC